RNAcentral lists this ribosomal RNA (253 nucleotides) under uncultured bacterium. RNAcentral's name for it is "partial 16S ribosomal RNA". It matches the Rfam family "Bacterial small subunit ribosomal RNA", at positions 524 to 776 of the family's 1533-position model. The record is from RNAcentral.
UACAGAGGGUGCGAGCGUUGUCCGGAAUCACUGGGCGUAAAGGGCGCGUAGGUGGCACGACAAGUCAGUGGUGAAAGCUCGACGCUCAACGUCGAGUCGGCCACUGAUACUGUUGGGCUGGAGCACUGUAGAGGCAGAUGGAAUUCCGGGUGUAGCGGUGGAAUGCGUAGAGAUCCGGAAGAACACCGGUGGCGAAGGCGGUCUGCUGGGCAGUUGCUGACACUGAGGCGCGACAGCGUGGGGAGCAAACAGG